AGGGACUGAACGAGGGCGGGAACUGGAAAUGGAGGGUGGAGAGUAAUUUCACUUGAAAUGGCACUAAGCCGGAAUGAAAGGGGACAGAGCAAGGUUUAUAGGGACUGAGACCCAGUGACAAGGGACGGAGAUGAGCGAAGCCUGGGAACCUGAGAGCAUCUGGCUAGGACUACGGUAGGGGGCGAGGACGGGGCGAGAACUUCUAACUGGUGAAGGAAAAGGGACGAGGUCUAGAUAACGGCGGACUGCAGACAGGAGAACAAAAGAACGGACCCUGGACUUCCCACUGCCUCUGAUCCAGUACUCUCAGGCAGCCUUCAAGCCCCGGAUGGGACCAAGGAGGGCAGAGAAAAGACAUUCGGGCUUCCUACUCUUCUCUGCCCGGAAUUCUGGUGUAUCCUCGGGCAGAAGCAGUGAAUCCUGAGGGUAUGUGGCGGAUUUGUUAGCCUGGAUUCUCCACCCAUGCAGAGCUGAGAGUGGGCGAUGCUUCUGGAGGCGUAAUGGGGGCUGGGGUUACGGAACACCCAACCCUGCAAACAGCCCAGGGGAAGUAGACUCGAUUUUGGCGACGGACACCAGGACGAGAGAGGCCAAUGUCUGUCUGCGUCUUCAGAUCCUUCCCACACCCUUCCUCCUUCCUAAAUUCUUGAAAGCUCCAAACUCCCACCUCUGUCAUCCUCGGCUCCCCCUCCUAACUCUCCCUCCCCCAUUCCCCAAGGCCCUGGGAUCGGGGUCUUCCCCUUCCCUUCUAAGAUCUCGUUCCUCUGCUCCAUUCCUGUCAGUUCCAAAUCCAGGAAAGAGGGUCUCCCGGACACUAACGCUGAAAAUGUGGGAACUCUGCCUACGAUCUUUGGCCCUCCCCGAUACCCUCCAAAUACCUUGGCUCCCAAAGAUCGUUAUUGAGGGGGAAUCUCUCCGCUGGAAUCUUUGAGUCCCUGUCUGCCGAGUCCCCCGCCUCCAAAACUGAGAUUUGGGCUGUCUUACCGCCCCCGGACCCUGAGCUUUCUCCCCCUCCCCUGUACUCACCCCAAGUCGAGGCGGGGCGGGGAUGGGGGA
Molecule: long non-coding RNA, 1056 nt
Organism: Pteropus alecto (black flying fox)
Lineage: Eukaryota; Metazoa; Chordata; Mammalia; Chiroptera; Pteropodidae
Exons: 4
Source: RefSeq, a predicted model, not a curated record